This 255-nucleotide ribosomal RNA is filed under the name Escherichia coli. Its description in RNAcentral is "partial 23S ribosomal RNA". It matches the Rfam family "Bacterial large subunit ribosomal RNA", at positions 468 to 725 of the family's 2925-position model. Lineage: Bacteria; Pseudomonadati; Pseudomonadota; Gammaproteobacteria; Enterobacterales; Enterobacteriaceae. The record is from RNAcentral.
AAAUACUCCUGACUGACCGAUAGUGAACCAGUACCGUGAGGGAAAGGCGAAAAGAACCCCGGCGAGGGGAGUGAAAAAGAACCUGAAACCGUGUACGUACAAGCAGUGGGAGCACGCUUAGGCGUGUAACUGCGUACCUUUUGUAUAAUGGGUCAGCGACUUAUAUUCUGUAGCAAGGUUAACCGAAUAGGGGAGCCGAAGGGAAACCGAGUCUUAACUGGGCGUUAAGUUGCAGGGUAUAGACCCGAAACCCGG